Molecule: long non-coding RNA, 685 nt
Organism: Micropterus dolomieu (smallmouth bass)
Lineage: Eukaryota; Metazoa; Chordata; Actinopteri; Centrarchiformes; Centrarchidae
Exons: 2
Source: RefSeq, a predicted model, not a curated record
AGCUGUUUCCACCUUGUUGGCAAAGACUUUUAAUGGCUUUCUUUAUCUGACUCCAGAUUUACUCGGAGGAAACAGCAUCCUGCUGCCAAGUAAAGGCCGCUUACACUCCAUGAGUCCCAGGAGGAUCAAAGAGGCCAGCCCUGUCAUCGUCAUGGAGAGGAGCAGGAUGCCACGGCGGCCGCACCUGUCUACGGUCGCCCAGAGCAACAACCAGGCACCGCCCCCUGCGCACACAGACAGCAGUUGACCAAUUUGGCUGUCUGCCAUGUAUAUUACCUGUCAGCGGCAUAGCCCAGGCCGAGACAGCCAGUCAGGACGCCCAGGAUGAAACACACCUCCUCCACUGGAACCAGCCAGUACUGAGCACACACCAGAUCCCACUGGACAGCACAGACACAAGAGGGAGGAUGACAGGCCUGUCAUUCAUUUUACUGUUCAGGUUAGCACAACAAUGUAAAUGUUAGAGAACAGGCAGUCAUCAGGGAGACAUCACCACACAUCAGGACCAACAGGGGAGAUGGAGAGGGUGACAGAAAACAUGAAUGAAAUCAGAAUGUUUCAGAAAGUAUAACCACCAAUUGUUUUGACUUAUUUUUAAAUGAAUGAAGUGAUGUAACCUCAUUUUUCGUUUCAUUUUCUGUCAAUCAGCCCUACAACCUUAAUAAAUAGCCCUCAUCACAAACAC